RNAcentral lists this transfer RNA (73 nucleotides) under Neogymnocrinus richeri. RNAcentral describes it as "tRNA-Phe". It matches the Rfam family "tRNA". From Rfam's summary of the family: Transfer RNA (tRNA) molecules are approximately 80 nucleotides in length. Their secondary structure includes four short double-helical elements and three loops (D, anti-codon, and T loops). Lineage: Eukaryota; Metazoa; Echinodermata; Crinoidea; Cyrtocrinida; Sclerocrinidae. The record is from RNAcentral.
ACAAAAAUAGCUUAAAGAAUAAAGCAAAGCACUGAAAAUGCUUUGAUAGCGGGUUUAAGUCCCCUCUUUUGUA